UUACGGUCAAAUCACGCUGAAACACCGGUUCUCGUACGAUCACCGAAGGUAAGCAUCGUAGAGCCAGGUCAGUACUUAGAUGGGGGACCGCUUGGGAACACCUGGUACUGUAAG
RNAcentral lists this ribosomal RNA (114 nucleotides) under Acanthosepion pharaonis. The record is from RNAcentral. Lineage: Eukaryota; Metazoa; Mollusca; Cephalopoda; Sepiida; Sepiidae.